Molecule: long non-coding RNA, 372 nt
Filed under: Junco hyemalis (dark-eyed junco)
Lineage: Eukaryota; Metazoa; Chordata; Aves; Passeriformes; Passerellidae
Description: lncRNA (ENSJHYG00000005482.1)
Source: RNAcentral
GCCUGAGGAGACAGCUGGGUGAGGAGCCCAAGGUGCUGAGGAGCACCAGCUGCCGGCAGAGGCUGCUGCUGUCCUGGGUCAUCACUGCCUGCUCCUCUGAACGUUGUCCACUUCAGAGUAACAAAUCUGUUGUGUUAGCCCUCACAAAGGAGAACUUCCUCACUCAAGGCCAAUGCUGCUUGUGCUGCUCUGGACAAGAGGCACAGAGCCUUUGGUAAGAUGCUAAAGGAAUGGCAAAACAAGGGCAAAGAGCUGCAGGUUGAAGUAAAUUCACAGAAAUGUACACAACUGAAAAUGUGCAGAGCUUGAAGCUGCCUAUGAAGAAUCCUUGGAGCACCUGGAAUCUAUGAAGAAGGAGAACAAGGCCCUUAA